AUACGGAGGGCACAAGCGUUGUUCGGAAUCAUUGGGCGUAAAGCGCGCGUAGGCGGCUUGAAAAGUCGGGUGUGAAAGCCCGGGGCUCAACCCCGGAAUUGCACUCGAAACUGCCAAGCUAGAGUCUCGGAGAGGAAGGCGGAAUUCCCGGUGUAGAGGUGAAAUUCGUAGAUAUCGGGAGGAGCACCAGUUGCGAAGGCGGCCUUCUGGACGAUGACUGACGCUGAGGUGCGAAAGCGUGGGGAGCAAACAGGAUUAGAAACCCCAGUAGUCC
This 274-nucleotide ribosomal RNA is filed under the name uncultured bacterium. RNAcentral's name for it is "partial 16S ribosomal RNA". It matches the Rfam family "Bacterial small subunit ribosomal RNA", at positions 523 to 796 of the family's 1533-position model. The record is from RNAcentral.